GCCCCUAUAGCUUAGUAGUUAAGGCCUUAAGACCUUCCUUAAGAGGUUAUUAGUUCGAAUCUAGCUAGGGGCG
This is a non-coding RNA of Purpureocillium lavendulum, 73 nucleotides long. The record is from the annotation of a GenBank genome assembly. NCBI's taxonomy places the organism in Eukaryota, Fungi, Ascomycota, Sordariomycetes, Hypocreales, Ophiocordycipitaceae.